ACGGCGCAAGUGCCAUGAGCACGGCGAGCGCUGUCUUUCCCGUUUCCUACGGCGCCGGGUACCACGUGACGUUACGCAGCGAGAUUUGCUCCGCGCGUACUAAGAAACCGGGUUCUACACCGCCGCAGCGAAGCCAAAAGCGGAAAAUAUAUUCACCAGAGACCGCAGGUGUGAUCCACCGACUAAGGAACAGUACGCAAAGACGACGAACCCCUGAUUGGCCCCUGCUCCUCCUGGAUUUACAGUUUCUCAACAAAAAACUUGGUGCUACUUGUUAUUGUCUCGUAACUGUGCCAUUUAUGCCAAGAUGACAAUAGAAUAAGCGAAGUGCAUUACACAUUUUAAGAAACAUCUGCAAUAUGCUCGCGACGAAUUUCGCAAUGAUACCUUGUUCGCAUGCAUAUGAAUGAAACUUUUGUGGUCUUACAUGCUGUAUUGCGAAAUAAAACCAUAUAUGAAAAAAAAAGAACUAUAUACGU
Dermacentor andersoni is the source of this 479-nucleotide long non-coding RNA. RefSeq lists it as uncharacterized. Lineage: Eukaryota; Metazoa; Arthropoda; Arachnida; Ixodida; Ixodidae. The record is from RefSeq and is a predicted model, not a curated record.